Molecule: ribosomal RNA, 502 nt
Filed under: Diaphorocera hemprichi
Lineage: Eukaryota; Metazoa; Arthropoda; Insecta; Coleoptera; Meloidae
Description: partial large subunit ribosomal RNA
Rfam family: Bacterial large subunit ribosomal RNA
Source: RNAcentral
CGCCUGUUUAUCAAAAACAUUGCUUUUUGUUAAUUAUUUAAAGUUUGGCCUGCUCCAUGAUUAAUUAAAUAGCCGCAGUAUUUUGACUGUGCAAAGGUAGCAUAAUCAUUAGUUUUUUAAUUGAAAGCUGGUAUGAAUGGUCGGAUGAGGAAGAUACUGUCUCACUUUUGUUUGGUUUGAAUUUUAUUUUUGAGUAAAAAAGCUUAAAUUUUAUAGAAAGACGAGAAGACCCUAUAGAGUUUAACAGGUUUGUUUUGUAAUGGAUUGAGGUUUAUAUUUUUAUUAUAAUUAGGCGUGUUUUGUUGGGGUGACAUUAGAAUUGGAUAAACUUCUUUAUAUUUUUACACUGAUUAGUGAAUACUGGAUCCUUGGUUUUGGAUUUAAAGAUUAAAUUACCUUAGGGAUAACAGCGUAAUUCUUUUGGAGAGUUCUAAUCGAUAAAAGGGAUUGCGACCUCGAUGUUGGAUUAAAGUUAAAUUUUGGUGCAGAAGCUAAAAUUUUG